GAUGAACGCUAGCGGCAGGCUUAAUACAUGCAAGUUGAGGGGCAGCAUGAUAUACGCGAGUAUAUUGAUGGCGACCGGCGGACGGGUGAGUAAUAGGUAGGAGACCUACCUCAUACAGGGGGAUAGCAUAGAGAAAUCUGUGGUAAUACCCCAUGAGGUUAUAUGAAUAGAGGCAUACAAUCAAAGCAUAAGCGAUUAUGCGGUAUGAGAGGGGCCUACUGACCAUUAGCUAGUUGGUGAGGUAAGGGCUCACCAAGGCGAAGAUGGUUAGGGGUUUUGAGAGAGAGACCCCCCACAUUGGAACUGAGAGACGGUCCAGACUCCUACGGGAGGCAGCAGUAGGGAAUAUUGGGCAAUGGGCGAAAGCCUGACCCAGCCAUGCCGCGUGAAGGAAGACGGCCUUAUGGGUUGUAAACUUCUUUACUACGCGAAUAGAGGUUAGUACGAGAUACUAAUAGGAAGGUAGUGUAGUAAAAGCACCGGCUAACUCCGUG
RNAcentral lists this ribosomal RNA (494 nucleotides) under uncultured bacterium. RNAcentral describes it as "bacterial SSU rRNA". It matches the Rfam family "Bacterial small subunit ribosomal RNA", at positions 28 to 507 of the family's 1533-position model. The record is from RNAcentral.